RNAcentral lists this ribosomal RNA (429 nucleotides) under uncultured archaeon. Its description in RNAcentral is "partial 16S ribosomal RNA". It matches the Rfam family "Archaeal small subunit ribosomal RNA", at positions 1 to 437 of the family's 1478-position model. The record is from RNAcentral.
UUCCGGUUGAUCCUGCCGGACCUGACUGCUAUCGGAUUGGUACUAANCCAUGCGAGUCAUUGUANCAAUACAAGGCGGACGGCUCANUAACACGUAGUCAACCUAACUCGUGGACGUGGAUAACCUCGGGAAACUGANAAUAAACCACNAUAGAUCAUAGUGCCUGGAAUGGCUUAUGGUCAAAACAGUUUACUGCCAUGGGAUGGGACUGCGGCCUAUCANCUUGUUGGUGAGGUAAUGGCCCACCAAGGCGAUUACAGGUACGGGCUCUGANAGGANAANCCCGGAGAUGGGUACUGANACACGGACCCAGGCCCUAUGGGGCGCAGCANGNNANAAACCUUANNAAUGUGCGAAAGCACGACUGGGUCAAUCCGAGUGAUUCCUGAUAAAGGAGUCUUUUGCUUGUCCUAAAAGCACAGGUGAAUA